CUGACACAGGGAGGUAGUGACAAUAAAUAACAAUGCCGGGCCUUUACAGGUCUGGCAAUUGGAAUGAGAACAAUUUAAAUCCCUUAUCGAGUAUCAAUUGGAGGGCAAGUCUGGUGCCAGCAGCCGCGGUAAUUCCAGCUCCAAUAGCGUAUAUUAAAGUUGUUGCAGUUAAAAAGCUCGUAGUUGGAUUUCUGGCAGGGGUGAGCGGCCACACACUAUGUGUGUGAGCUUGCUUACUCCGCCAUCCUUGAGGAGAUCCUAUUUGGCAUUAAGUUAUCGAGGAGAUAGCCGCUCAUCGUUUACUGUGAGAAAAUUAGAGUGUUCAAAGCAGGCUUAUGCCGUUGAAUAUAUUAGCAUGGAAUAAUAAGAUAGGACC
RNAcentral lists this ribosomal RNA (376 nucleotides) under uncultured diatom. RNAcentral describes it as "SSU rRNA". It matches the Rfam family "Eukaryotic small subunit ribosomal RNA", at positions 451 to 829 of the family's 1831-position model. Lineage: Eukaryota; Bacillariophyta. The record is from RNAcentral.